GACCUUCUCUUUCCUUGGCUGCUCAGGUCAUAGGUGCUGCAAUCUAGAGACAAAAUAUUCCUUACACUGCCAGAUACUUGCAAACUAAGGGGAACGAGCUUCCCUCUGAAUGUUUAUGAAGGAGAGACCACUGUGAGGAUAGACAGUGAAGUGCAACUACAGCCCGCAAAUGAAAAUGAAUAAAAUUAAUCCAGCCCCUCAAGGCAGUCAUCUGUCUUAGAGCUAUUGGAAUCCUGGAUCAUUGUGGGAAAUGAAAAGUAAGAACUGGUUUUUAGCAAGGAGACCAAGAAACUCUACUCCCUAGGGGCUAGCAAUGAGAGAAAGGAAGCCUUGAGUCUUUGAGCACAGGGUGACAGUUUGGGUCCUAUGUGAGAUGAUCAAAUCCACAGCAACAGAGGAAAGGACAAAAGGAAAAGGUCUGUAGCAGCACUACAUCAGAAAAAAUGGAUUCCGCAAGGAAGUGGGUGACUCUGAAUACUUCGAUGGAAUCAGCAGCCAUUGAUCCAAUGCCAACUCCAAGACUGGAACGUCGCAAUGAUAGUUCCAAGGCGGAAAUUUGACGUAAUUCUUUUCGACACAGUUUUACAGGUCUGGAUGCCCAUUUUAAUUCUUCUGAAAGCAUGCCUCCUUCUGGCUUCAGGACUCCAUCUCCAGCCUUAUGAUCUAAAAAUAAUCCCCAAACCAAAAAAUUAGAUAUUAUUUCCUCAAAAUUAGGUGUUUUAAUCAAAACAUCUUAACAUAAAUACAUUAUUAUCACCCAA
Molecule: long non-coding RNA, 761 nt
Filed under: Homo sapiens (human)
Lineage: Eukaryota; Metazoa; Chordata; Mammalia; Primates; Hominidae
Description: novel transcript
Source: RNAcentral